RNAcentral lists this long non-coding RNA (1177 nucleotides) under Cricetulus griseus (Chinese hamster). Its description in RNAcentral is "lncRNA (ENSCGRG00015037012.1)". Lineage: Eukaryota; Metazoa; Chordata; Mammalia; Rodentia; Cricetidae. The record is from RNAcentral.
CUUGGACACACUGAACUUCCCAGCUUUAUUUGCCAUUUUAUCCCAGCAUCCCAUGGAGAAUUUGAUCAAAAGAGAAUCUCAGCAUAUAAACGAGCCACACCUGCACUUUUUAUUACAAGGAUGCUGUUUGUUUGCUGGAAUCAGAUGGGGGAAGAAUGGUGGGAAAUUAAGAACCAUAGGAAAGCUGUCCUCACAGUUAAGUUCCUCUGCUGCCGUGGGCUCCUUUCCAAUUGGUGCAACAAGAGAUCUGGGGCCUGUGUUUGCUUUUCUUGGCAUCUUCAGAGGUGAUGUCUAUAGCUGAAGACACUGGGGUUGUUGCCAGAAGCCCUGCUGGAGCUGGAACUAUGUGAUUCCAGGUUCUAAGAUCUCAUCUGCUCCCAGCAUUGGGGAACAUUUUGAUCCUGGCAGACACUCUCAUGCCGGCACUCCAAAUCCACCAGGUUCUUCUCAGACCCCAAGCAGAGCAAUAGAGUGACCUCUGGACACACACAACUGGGCAGCAACACCAUCUCUGGAACUCCCUUGUCUCCCUGGGGACCUUGUCACCGUGGACACAAACAUGAUUACAAACUGCUAGUGGCCUGGCAGCACAUGAACACAUUCCCAUGAGAGGACAGAAGGGACUUCCUUUCCUGGUAGCUGGCGCCACUGUCAUGCCUACUUCAGACCUGAGGAAAUAAAUAUUCUGGCUGUGAAGAUGAUCACUGGCUGAACACAGAAAAACAAAACCCAGGCUUUCAAAGUGCUGGGCAGUGGUGGUGCAUACCUUUAAUCCCAGAACUCAAGAGGCAGAGGCAGGCAGAUCUCUGUGAAUUCAAGGCCAGCCUGAUCCACAGAUGUUGACAAUUGGAGCCAGGACCUUGUGCAUGUGAAGCACUUGCUCUAUGCCAGAGUGCACCUUCACCCUUUUGCUAUUCUCUACACAAGAUUAGGAUCUCCAGGCCACAUUUCCUCUUUUGUUCCUGAUGUUGAACUUGAGGGUAAGACCUUAUUGUGGAAGAUGCUACAUACUUUGGUCACAGCACAUGGAGAAAUCAAGUUGGUACUGGCAAAGCUAGCUGGCUUCCCCCCUCCUCCGCUGGCUAGCAUAGAAGGUGCUAUGUGGACUGCGGUAAAAAGUCAUCAACAAUCUUACUCAACUCCAAAUCCUGUGAACUAAAAUAAUAAUGGAUGAGAU